UUUAAUUUGAUGUAAAAUGAAUAGAAGUCAAUUAAUGUAUAUAGUAACUAUUAAGUCUAAGAUAUAUAUACCCUAGUAAGCUAUAGUACUUUUUCCUUUGGGAAGGUACCAUCUGUGCAGUCUGCAAUUUUGUUGAAGAAAGAUGUUGAAUCUAUUUAAUAUUUCUUGAAAAAUAAUUGAUUUCUGUGCAUUUUUUUUUCACACUGCAUCAAAUUAAGGUUGAUUACGUCGAUUAAGCAUCAUGAGGUGGAGCGUGAGGGGUGGUUCCCUAUUUUUUAUUUAUUUAUUUUUGUUGUUGCUGGGAGUUGGAACCCUAUUAGUUAGGUUGCUUAAUAUUUAUGCUAAGUACUCUUUAAAAUACCAGAAUAGGGAGGAUGGUGUAGGUUUAAGUUUAUUAGAUUGAUCAGUAUUGCUGAACUAUGAAAUAUUUUUUUUGCAUACAGGUAUAACAGAAUAGCUUUAGUGUAGUUGUUGUUUUAAACUUGAGUAUGAACUUAUACAAAAUGCAGCAAGAUAUUUAAAAAACAGUUUUGUUGAUUAAAAAACACUAUAUCGGAUUCAUAUCGGUAUCGGCAGAUAUCCAAAUUUAUGAUAUCGGUAUCGGUAUCGGACAUAAAAAAGUGGUAUCGUGCCAUCUCUAAUUGAUAUAUGCAUUUUAUUUAUUUAUUUAUUUAUUUUUUCUGCUCAUUCUGUUGGUUUUUGUUUUUUGCCCUUCUCCCCCGUCCCUUUUCUCAGCUGUUUCUCUUUCCCUCUUUCUUUCUCCCCUUCUUUCCCCAGUCAAGUCUGUCCCGUAUUCAGUAAGUGAAAAUAAAAUAAACAAUAAAAGGUGAAUCAAAUGGACCAUUACGGCAAGGCUGGGAUGGUCAAUUUGGUAAAGUAAAUCCGUUGGGCAUCUUUCUUUGCCUUUAGACAACAAUUCUGAUGGCAAAAGAGCCAAACGGGACAGGCAAAAAAAAAAGGAAAAAAAAAAAAAAAAAAGAAAAAAAAUAAUAUUUAACUAUUAAUCACAGUUUUGCUAAAUAAAAGGAUCUGGCUUGCAUCAGUCACAUGAUCACAUUUCACCAAUGAUCGCCCUUGACGGCAGAACGCGCUGGUUACGAGCUGGGAACGAGCUCACAAAGAGCACGCGCAUUUUUAGCGGUCCGGAGCUGUAGGAGAAACACAAGUUAACUCAGAGACACAGACUGAUGCGACACAACCAGUAAGUAGGUGUACUAUGGGCAGAAAUCCGUGCCAUCAGAAACUCAAUUUGAAUAAGUUCAAUUUGAAUUUGAAUGGCUCAGAUUGAAUCUGAAGAAAAGAGAAAAAAAGAAAAAAAAAAAGAAAACAGAAUACCCACCCCAGCCCGCCGCCUCUUACCAGGGGCAACUCCAGACUGAGACGGAGUCCAGCCCCUCUCCAGGAGACUGGUCCCAGAGCCCAAGCCAUGCGUAGAGGUGAGCCCGACUAUAUCUAGCCGGUACCUCUCAACCUCACGCACUAACUCAGGCUCCUUCCCCACCAGAGAGGUGACAUUCCAUAUCCCUAUUGCCAGUCUUGGCAGCCAGGGAUCAGUCCGCCAGGGCCUCCGCUCCUGGCCGCCACCCGGCACACAAUGCACCCGACCCCUAUGGCGCCUCCUGUGGGUGGUGGGCCUGUGGGAGGAUGGGCCCAUGUCUCCUCUUCGGGCUGUGCCCGGCCGGGCCCCAUGGACUAAGGCCCAGCCACCAGACGCUCCCUCCCAGGUCCUGGCUCCAGGGCGGGGCCCCAGUCACCCUAUCCCGGGCAGGGUAAACUGUUCCCUCGAUGUUCUCUUCAUAAGGGUCUUCUGAAUCGCUCUUUGUCUGGUCCCUCACCCAGCACCAAUUUGCCAUGGGAGACCCUACCAGGGGGCUAAAGCCCCCAGACAAC
Molecule: long non-coding RNA, 1890 nt
Organism: Astatotilapia calliptera (eastern happy)
Lineage: Eukaryota; Metazoa; Chordata; Actinopteri; Cichliformes; Cichlidae
Source: Ensembl